RNAcentral lists this ribosomal RNA (254 nucleotides) under uncultured bacterium. RNAcentral describes it as "partial 16S ribosomal RNA". It matches the Rfam family "Bacterial small subunit ribosomal RNA", at positions 524 to 776 of the family's 1533-position model. The record is from RNAcentral.
UACGUAGGGUGCGAGCGUUGUCCGGAAUUAUUGGGCGUAAAGAGCUCGUAGGCGGUCUGUCGCGUCGAUCGUGAAAACUUGGGGCUUAACCCUGAGCUUGCGGUCGAUACGGGCAUGACUGGAGUUCGGCAGGGGAGACUGGAAUUCCUGGAGUAGCGGUGAAAUGCGCAGAUAUCAGGAGGAACACCGGUGGCGAAGGCGGGUCUCUGGGCCGAUACUGACGCUGAGGAGCGAAAGCGUGGGGAGCGAACAGG